CUUGUUUCUCCUGAGAAAAUUCAAAACAAAAAACAUGUAGGUUUUUAUCAACAUUUCACAAAUGAAAAAGUAGAAAUCUAAAAGUUAAAUUAAAUAUUUCAACUUAAUUAUUUGGAAAAAUUGCUACACAAUCAACACUUGUUGGACCAUAGUGUAAAACAUCAAAGACAUUGUCAUGGAAAUAUAUCUGGGAUUUGUGCUUUAUUGAAAAACUAAUCUUGAAUGAUAUUAUUGUCCAUAUUUUUUUUGAAACUUUAUUUAGCUAACAACAC
Molecule: long non-coding RNA, 272 nt
Filed under: Mytilus galloprovincialis (Mediterranean mussel)
Lineage: Eukaryota; Metazoa; Mollusca; Bivalvia; Mytilida; Mytilidae
Source: RNAcentral